UGGGUACCAAGGCUCAUCAGCACACACACACUAUUAUCACAGUUCUAAGACAUCUGACAUUGACUAAGACAUCAUCAAUCUAAUAACAGCAUUUUAGGAAU
Vicugna pacos (alpaca) is the source of this 101-nucleotide non-coding RNA. The record is from RefSeq and is a predicted model, not a curated record. NCBI's taxonomy places the organism in Eukaryota, Metazoa, Chordata, Mammalia, Artiodactyla, Camelidae.